Paramisgurnus dabryanus is the source of this 792-nucleotide non-coding RNA. Lineage: Eukaryota; Metazoa; Chordata; Actinopteri; Cypriniformes; Cobitidae. The record is from RefSeq and is a predicted model, not a curated record.
AUUGCAAUUUCAACAUCAUAUCAUUGAACUUGCAUUAUAUAUUGAUUUUACAAAGUUAAUCCACAUAAAUUUGUUAGUGUUUAUAUUCAAACAACACACGUGACGGACCUGACUAAACCUCAUUGGUUCUUGGGAUUCAGUACGUCACAUUGGCUUCCUGAUUCAGUUGUUCGAUACACAACGUGCGUGAUCGUUGGUAAAUGUGGAUUAAAAGUUGAAACUAAAACUGUUAAAUUAUAUAUAGUGAUCAUCAGAGGACUUGGCUGAAACAACGCGAUUCACAUGGAUUACUUCGGCGAUGUUUUUUAUUGCUGUUGCGAUUAACUUUUUGAAAUGUGAGCAGUUUUUAAGUAUCAAGUGGAUCUGACAUCGAGGGGAAAUAUACGUUUCUUGGAUUUCAUUAAAGUACAUCGGUUUUUGUUUGAAGAUGAAUGAGAGAACAUGAGGCACAGCGGCAUUCAAAUUGACCAAUCAGAGCCGAGAAUAUCUAAUAAGUCGAAGUAGAGAUGAACAGAUGAAGAUACAGCCCGUAAAAAUACUUAUUCUUGGUGAGUGCCAUGUAGCGACGGAUCAAACGGACACUCAUGUCAAGCUUGAUGAGGACACAGUCAAAGCUUUAAAAGACCUUGUGAUUAAGUCUUCAGUGUCUGAAUGGCAAGAAGAAGUGACCCUCCACUUAAACGUGACAUUUAAACUGCUCUGUGUUUUGGUUCAGCCAUUUGUAGGUUUAUCUCGAGUAAGUUCAAAUGCACUUCUGCAUUUGUCCAGUAACUUUUUGUUUAGAGAAUUACA